Mastomys coucha (southern multimammate mouse) is the source of this 738-nucleotide long non-coding RNA. RefSeq lists it as uncharacterized. The record is from RefSeq and is a predicted model, not a curated record. The transcript is spliced from 2 exons. Lineage: Eukaryota; Metazoa; Chordata; Mammalia; Rodentia; Muridae.
CCAGACCAAGAACAGCCUGUUUCGCAGGCACCGCGUGGAUGAAAGUGACCUACAACUAAAGGUCUUAGUGCUGCCUUGUGUUCUAAAUAACCAGUAAGCCCCCCAUCCCACGCCGUCCUUAGAGCCAAACAGGACACUGGGAAGUUUCCUGCUAAUUCUUUGAAACUGAGUGGUAAGGGGCAACAGGAAGGAGUGUCAGGUUCAGCGGAGCAAGUAACAGAAUUUAAAAAUCCGCUGCAUUAAGACUGCACACCAAACUUGAUUUAAAAGCUGUUGAUACGCUCAGAAAGUCGUUUUACCAAAUCUGUUAAAAGAAAUUACAGUUCAGGCAUUUGCGUAUAUAUCCUCACUGUUAGACUCGCCUACUUUUUGGAGUUGUAACUUUAAAGACCUGUCUUCUCCACUUUUCUAACACGUUUACCAUACUGGCCAAACUCCAGAGUGUGCUUGCUAGCUAUCGUGGGUAUUCUAAUUUUUUGUUAAAACCCCCACCUAUCACUCACCCCUUGCAGGUGCAAGAAAUAAGGAUGAGAGGGCCUUUUAAAGUACAGAGAAACUUGAGCCUGUAUUCAAGAUGGAGACACGAAGUUACAAAUAUUUAAGUAUGUGUGGGGUCAUCAAGAGAUGGAAGUGUGGAAUACUACAAAGUUUAAAGUGUAACAAGUUUGUGACCUAUACUAAACUGUAAAUGAACAGAUGCAUAAAGAUGAAGAUUGUCUUCUCAUAAAUGUCUUUAAA